UUGUGAACUCGACGAGUAGGGCGGGACACGUGUUAUCCUGUCUGAAUAUGGGGGGACCAUCCUCCAAGGCUAAAUACUCCUGAUUGACCGAUAGUGAACCAGUACCGUGAGGGAAAGGCGAAAAGAACCCCGGCGAGGGGAGUGAAAAAGAACCUGAAACCGUGUACGUACAAGCAGUAGGAGCCUCUUUAUGGGGUGACUGCGUACCUUUUGUAUAAUGGGUCAGCGACUUAUAUUCUGUAGCAAGGUUAACCGUAUAGGGGAGCCGUAGGGAAACCGAGUCUUAACUGGGCGAAUGAGUUGCAGGGUAUAGACCCGAAACCCGGUGAUCUAUCCAUGGGCAGGUUGAAGGUUGGGUAACACUAACUGGAGGACCGAACCGACUAAUGUUGAAAAAUUAGCGGAUGACUUGUGGAUGGGGGUGAAAGGCCAAUCAAACCGGGAGAUAGCUGGUUCUCCCCGAAAGCUAUUUAGGUAGCGCCUCGUGAACUCAUCUUCGGGGGUAGAGCACUGUUUCGACUAGGGGGUCAUCCCGACUUACCAACUCGAUGCAAACUGCGAAUACCGAAGAAUGUUAUCACGGGAGACACACGGCGGGUGCUAACGUCCGUCGUGAAGAGGGAAACAACCCAGACCGCCAGCUAAGGUCCCAAAGUCAUGGUUAAGUGGGAAACGAAGUGGGAAGGCUCAGACAGCCAGGAUGUUGGCUUAGAAGCAGCCAUCAUUUAAAGAAAGCGUAAUAGCUCACUGGUCGAGUCGGCCCGCGCGGAAGAUGUAACGGGGCUAAACCAUGCACCGAAGCUGCGGCAGCGA
RNAcentral lists this ribosomal RNA (813 nucleotides) under Proteus mirabilis. RNAcentral describes it as "partial 23S ribosomal RNA". It matches the Rfam family "Bacterial large subunit ribosomal RNA", at positions 397 to 1211 of the family's 2925-position model. The record is from RNAcentral. Lineage: Bacteria; Pseudomonadati; Pseudomonadota; Gammaproteobacteria; Enterobacterales; Morganellaceae.